This 122-nucleotide transfer RNA is filed under the name Staphylococcus aureus. Lineage: Bacteria; Bacillati; Bacillota; Bacilli; Caryophanales; Staphylococcaceae. The record is from RNAcentral.
CACCGUACCGGUUCGAUUCCGGUCCUCGGCACCAUUUUCAAUAAAAACAUAUGCGCCCGUAGCUCAAUUGGAUAGAGCGUUUGACUACGGAUCAAGAGGUUAUGGGUUCGACUCCUAUCGGG